GUGAAACCUCGUCUCUACUAGUUAGCAUUUCAAAGUCUCAUUUACUAUCGGAAUUAACCAGACAAAUUGCUCCACCAACUAAGAACGGCCAUGCACCACCACCCAUAUAACAAGAAAGAGCUAUCGAUCUGUCAAUCCUUCCUAUGCCUGGACCU
Long non-coding RNA from Sapajus apella (tufted capuchin), 155 nucleotides. RefSeq lists it as uncharacterized. The transcript has 3 exons. The record is from RefSeq and is a predicted model, not a curated record. NCBI's taxonomy places the organism in Eukaryota, Metazoa, Chordata, Mammalia, Primates, Cebidae.